UUCUUUUCUUUUCUCUCUCUCUCUUUCUUUUGAAAGAGGGGUUGGUAAGAUGGCAUAUGAAUUUAGGAUGUUAAAGUUCCACAAGUAAAUCUCUUUCGUGUUUGUGGAUGUUAAUUUGGAGAAAUUAAUUAAGUGGAGAUGAAUUCUGGCCUCAGAUAUCAAAGGGAAUGAUUAGCAUUUUAUCUCAUAUCAUACACUGGGAAGAACAGUGCAGGGGGUCAUUUUGCUGGUGAAUAUCAUCUCCAUAGCCUGUAGAGGUUGUAAAAUACCCAAAAAUGUUUCUGAUAACUUUUGCAUAAGAAAUAGAGAAUAAAUUUUGCAAAUAGAAUGGUAUUUUGAUUUAGAAAUCAAAAUACUAUGCAUAUUUUCUAGGCUAUUGCUAUAGAGAAAAUUUAAAAAUGAAAUUGCUUGAUAUAAUCUUGUCUGAUGACUUGUUAUUCCUGUGAUGUUAUAUAUGGUACUGAAAAUGAUUUUUCUAAAAAGGCAUACUUCAUAAAAGAAUCUUAAAAAUUCAUACUUUGUCACUGUCAUUGACAAAAGAAACACUUAACGCAUACUUCUGAAUGAGAAGUAAUCUUUGAAACUCAUCUUUCUGCUAGAAGUUUGGAAAGAAAUUGGAUAUUGUGACUGUAGACUCAGUCCAAUGCUUACUAGGUAUUUAUUUGUUGAUUCAUUUUUUAGAUGUUGCAUCACACUUUGUGGUGCAGCAUGUAUAUCUUCAUAGAAGGAGCAGGUGGGGGUGGAGAAUCCAGGUAAAUUGGCAAAAUUUUGUUGCUUAUGAGAAGACAACAAAUAAGAAGAAUAAAGGGAAGGUACUUCUGAAGUUCUGAUGCUUUGGCAAAGGCCUUCCCAUCUUCUUCUUUUGUAUAUGAGUUUGCAAUUUCUACCAUUAGCCUGACCUUUUGAAUUAAUGGUUUAGAAAAGAAGCAUGCUGUAUAUUCCCAAGGUACUGUUAUGCCUGAAAUUCAGGCAUAUCCGCAUAACGCCAAAGAAGAGAAAUAAUUAUCAUAAAAAAUUUAUGCUUUUUAUUAAAAAAAUUGUUCAUGUUUGUGUUUUUGAUGAACUUCAAAUUUGGUACUAAUUUAUUAAUUCUUAUUAAUACUCUAUAUUUUCUGCAGAAGAAUUAUUUUGCUGGGUGAUUU
This 1142-nucleotide unclassified non-coding RNA is filed under the name Hevea brasiliensis (rubber tree). Lineage: Eukaryota; Viridiplantae; Streptophyta; Magnoliopsida; Malpighiales; Euphorbiaceae. The record is from RNAcentral.